GGGCCCGCACAAGCGGUGGAGCAUGUGGUUUAAUUCGAUGCAACGCGAAGAACCUUACCGGGGUUUGACAUGGGAGCCUCGCCGCAAGGUGAGGUCAGCCCUAUGAAAGUAGGGUGUGUCCACACAGGUGCUGCAUGGCUGUCGUCAGCUCGUGUCGUGAGAUGUUGGGUUAAGUCCCGCAACGAGCGCAACCCUCGCCGAUAGUUACCAACGGGUCAAGCCGGGGACUCUAUCGGGACUGCCGGUGAUAAACCGGAGGAAGGUGGGGAUGAUGUCAAGUCAUCAUGGCCCUUACAUCCCGGGCUACACACGUGCUACAAUGGUCGGUACAAUGGGCUGCGAUACCGCGAGGUGGAGCAAAUCCCCAAAGCCGACCUCAGUACGGAUUGGAGUCUGCAACUCGACUCCAUGAAGCCGGAAUCGCUAGUAAUCGCGGAUCAGAAUGCCGCGGUGAAUACGUUCCCGGGCCUU
RNAcentral lists this ribosomal RNA (471 nucleotides) under uncultured bacterium. Its description in RNAcentral is "bacterial SSU rRNA". It matches the Rfam family "Bacterial small subunit ribosomal RNA", at positions 917 to 1382 of the family's 1533-position model. The record is from RNAcentral.